This is a long non-coding RNA of Symphalangus syndactylus (siamang), 593 nucleotides long. RefSeq lists it as uncharacterized. The record is from RefSeq and is a predicted model, not a curated record. Lineage: Eukaryota; Metazoa; Chordata; Mammalia; Primates; Hylobatidae.
GCAAAGUAAAAUAAAACAGCCCUUUAUUUUUCCAGGUCUUUAAGAUAAAAUCUUUAACAAAGUAGUUCUAGAAUGCUUUACAUUCCAUUCUGGGUUGGAAUCAGUAUGAGAGGGAGAAUAGUGGAGGUUGAGAUUUGAAGAGUAAGAUAGGAGGACAUUUUUUCAUAUUGAAUCUUGUCAACCAUUGAAUGGUCUAGUGCAAAGGAAAGAUUGAACAUGCAGGAGAGAGGAGAACGAUUACUGGAGUGAUUUCCUUGAGUGGGUGACAGUAUUGGGAUUUAAAGCACAACUGGGGGAGCUGGUCAUGAUUAGCAAUUCCAGUUUUCCAUUCGCCACUUGUUUUUACAAAAUGAUGUAGAGACAACAUACAAUAAAAUAUUCAAUAAACAUAGAGACUAGACUCCUGCAUAGAAACUGACACCAUGAGAAAACAAGAUUUGACAGUGUGUUAGCAAGAAAUGGAUCUUUGUCAGCUGAUGGCUGGAACAGUUACCAAGAGUCUAGCCCUGUUGCCCAGGCUGGAAUGCAGUGGAGCAAUCUUGGCUCACUGCAACCUCUGCCUCCCUGGAUCAAGCAAUUCUCCUACCCCAGCC